Molecule: non-coding RNA, 81 nt
Organism: Podarcis lilfordi (Lilford's wall lizard)
Lineage: Eukaryota; Metazoa; Chordata; Lepidosauria; Squamata; Lacertidae
Source: the annotation of a GenBank genome assembly
GCAAAUGAUAGCUCAGUUGAUUAGAGCCUGGUGCUGAUAAUGCCAAGGUUGCAGGUUUGAUCCCCAGACAGCUGCAUUGCA